GCUGUAAUAUAAUCCCUUGUGUAUUUGAGACAAUCACCCCCUUAUCUCGUCACGUGACAUUUUUUCCUUUGUGCCUCAAUAUACUUGCCGCCGUUUGUGAAGUUCGCCGGCUAGCCAAACCAUCUUAUUUUAUUAACUAUGAUUGAACUUGUUACGAGUAUGAGCAGGGCAAGCUGAAAAUUAAUUCUACUUGACUACGGCUGGGAAUCCAACCCGCGACGUCCGUUACAUUUCUAGAACGACGAUGAAAAUGCCUGUAUUGAAACAACAAGAAUAACACAAAUUUCCGAAGAAAUAGAACAGAUGAAAUUCGGAAUCUUUGGGUACUUGUUAUGUAGAAUAAUGAAAAAAAAAUUCUCGAACUCAAAUUUUGUUAACCGCGGGUGGUGUCAUUUCGAACAAAAUAAAAAUGUCUUGCGUACGAGACUUAAA
Molecule: non-coding RNA, 432 nt
Organism: Paramuricea clavata
Lineage: Eukaryota; Metazoa; Cnidaria; Anthozoa; Malacalcyonacea; Plexauridae
Source: the annotation of a GenBank genome assembly